Molecule: ribosomal RNA, 852 nt
Filed under: uncultured archaeon
Lineage: Archaea
Description: bacterial SSU rRNA
Rfam family: Archaeal small subunit ribosomal RNA
Source: RNAcentral
GACCCGACUGCUAUUUGGGUGAGAAUAAGCCAUGCGAGUUGAAUGGGAUACNUAAAGUUCCCAUAGCAAACUGCUCAGUAACACAUGAUCAACUUACCCUAUAGAGAAAAAUAACCUCGGGAAACUGAGGAUAAUGUUUCAUAAUUGAAUUGGCUUGGAAAAGUUUUUCAAUGAAAGGGAUAAAAAAAAUGGUUUUUAUCUGCUAUAGGAUAGGAUCGUGUUCGAUUAUGGUUGUUGGUGAGAUAAUGGCUCACCAAGCCGAUAAUCGAUAGGGGCCGUGAGAGCGGGAGCCCCGAGAUGGGUACUGAGACAACGACCCAGGCCUUACGAGGCGCAGCAGGCGCGGAACCUCCGCAAUACACGAAAGUGUGACGGGGUUACCCAAAGUGUUCAAUAGAACUGUGGUAGGUGAGUAAUGUCCCCUACUAGAAAGGAGAGGGCAAGGCUGGUGCCAGCCGCCGCGGUAAAACCAGCUCUUCAAGUGGUCGGGAUAAUUAUUGGGCUUAAAGUGUCCGUAGCCGGUUUAGCAAGUUCCUGGUAAAAUCGGGUAGCUUAACUAUCUGCAUGCUAGGAAUACUGCUAUACUAGAGGGCGGGAGAGGUCUGAGGUACUACAGGGGUAGGGGUGAAAUCUUAUAAUCCUUGUAGGACCACCAGUGGCGAAGGCGUCAGACUGGAACGCGCCUGACGGUGAGGGACGAAAGCCAGGGGAGCGAACCGGAUUAGAUACCCGGGUAGUCCUGGCCGUAAACGAUGCAUACUAGGUGAUGGUACGGCCAUGAGCCGUAUCAGUGCCGUAGGGAAACCGUUAAGUGUGCCGCCUGGGAAGUACGGUCGCAAGGCUAAAACUUAA